Long non-coding RNA from Triplophysa rosa, 1180 nucleotides. RefSeq lists it as uncharacterized. Lineage: Eukaryota; Metazoa; Chordata; Actinopteri; Cypriniformes; Nemacheilidae. The record is from RefSeq and is a predicted model, not a curated record. The transcript is spliced from 7 exons.
CUUAUGACCUCCAAGUAUUGCGAUAACAAAGCGCACACACGGCUUGUAUAUCACGGGUCCGUUACUGGGUUACUUUGUUUCUUGGUUACUAAAGUUACUUGCACAUGCACUCGAGGAAACGCAUCAAACGCUGUAAAUUCUGGAGCAAGAACAGUGCAACUGCGCCGUGUAUUGGUGAAUCGGACAAAAUGUGGGCAUUAAUUGAAUGGACAGAAAUGGACGCGUCUCUGGACACUGUAAGGAGAAAAGACAUUCUUCAAUCUGUAGUUCACAAGGGGGAUGUUGUUGAUGUCAAAUAUGAAGAUGAAAGCUCUCCUGCUCUUAUUCUCAAGCUGAAUGAAAAUAAGCACAAGCUACUGAAACGUCUAAAUCAGAUGGAGUCAGAGAGAUGGCAAAAGAGGAGUGCAAGCCACCUGAAAGAGAGCAAUAAAAAGGAAAAUAAUAUUUAGUCCAGAAAACAACCCACCAUCAAGUCCAGAAGAGAUUUAGUUAAGUAUAACUUCCUGAUAAAUCAUAUUAACAUUGUUUAAGAGACUACACCUGUGUUUUUGCUGUUCUGUGACUUUAAUUUAGUCUCUCAACUUAGGUUGAAAAAACAUAAAAUGACACGCUGUUGCUUAAAAAAAUAGAAGAAAAAACAAAGAAAAUGACACAAUACCUGUAAAUGACAUGAGAAAAGAAAUCAAAGCCUUGAGAGCAGAGAAUCAGCAACUAAAGGCCCUGAACUUUAAACUGCAAAAUGAUAUUAUUAACAGAAUUGCGGAGUUGCUGCGAGACAGCAGUGUAAACAAGCAUGCUGUGCCAACCUCCCUAACAAGUUCAGUUUGCUGUGCUAACCUUCAACCAGAUAACUCUUCACAUAGUUCUUCUGAACUGGACCAUGUUGAAAUCCACAGAAAAUGAAACAAGGAUACAUUCCAAGUGUGGUGGUAGAGGGGGCACAUCAUGGUCAGCCAUGAUCAAGGAUUUAGCCGUGGCUGUUCUUGGAAGGAGCAUGUUAGCUACCCGUAGCCUUUCUGCAAAAUUUUGAAAUGCCAACAAAGAAUCACAAGCCAAGCCUCCUUUGGACCCACACAAGUGGAACUUAUUAUAGACACUGUUCAGAAGAAAUUUCCAGCAACUCCCCAAAAGCUUCUUCGGGCUGCUUUACGGGAAAAAAAAUAAUGAUGAACAUAAACUU